This 73-nucleotide transfer RNA is filed under the name Mesocricetus auratus (golden hamster). It matches the Rfam family "tRNA". From Rfam's summary of the family: Transfer RNA (tRNA) molecules are approximately 80 nucleotides in length. Their secondary structure includes four short double-helical elements and three loops (D, anti-codon, and T loops). Lineage: Eukaryota; Metazoa; Chordata; Mammalia; Rodentia; Cricetidae. The record is from Rfam by way of RNAcentral.
GAGGGUGUGGCUCAGUUGGUCCAGGGCUUGCUUAACAUGCAUGAAGCCCUGGGUUUGAUUCCCAGCACCGCCC